ACCUGGCUGGCUCAGUAGGAAGAGUGCGUGGCUCUUAAUCUCGGGGUCAUGAGUUCAAGCCCCAUGUUGGGUG
This 73-nucleotide transfer RNA is filed under the name Ursus americanus (American black bear). It matches the Rfam family "tRNA". Rfam says of the family: Transfer RNA (tRNA) molecules are approximately 80 nucleotides in length. Lineage: Eukaryota; Metazoa; Chordata; Mammalia; Carnivora; Ursidae. RNAcentral also lists the same sequence under 2 other names. The record is from Rfam by way of RNAcentral.